This 939-nucleotide ribosomal RNA is filed under the name Pseudomonas sp. THA3.1. Its description in RNAcentral is "bacterial SSU rRNA". It matches the Rfam family "Bacterial small subunit ribosomal RNA", at positions 56 to 991 of the family's 1533-position model. RNAcentral also lists the same sequence under 1 other name. The record is from RNAcentral. Lineage: Bacteria; Pseudomonadati; Pseudomonadota; Gammaproteobacteria; Pseudomonadales; Pseudomonadaceae.
UGCAGUCGAGCGGUAGAGAGAAGCUUGCUUCUCUUGAGAGCGGCGGACGGGUGAGUAAUGCCUAGGAAUCUGCCUGGUAGUGGGGGAUAACGUUCGGAAACGGACGCUAAUACCGCAUACGUCCUACGGGAGAAAGCAGGGGACCUUCGGGCCUUGCGCUAUCAGAUGAGCCUAGGUCGGAUUAGCUAGUUGGUGAGGUAAUGGCUCACCAAGGCGACGAUCCGUAACUGGUCUGAGAGGAUGAUCAGUCACACUGGAACUGAGACACGGUCCAGACUCCUACGGGAGGCAGCAGUGGGGAAUAUUGGACAAUGGGCGAAAGCCUGAUCCAGCCAUGCCGCGUGUGUGAAGAAGGUCUUCGGAUUGUAAAGCACUUUAAGUUGGGAGGAAGGGCAGUUACCUAAUACGUGAUUGUUUUGACGUUACCGACAGAAUAAGCACCGGCUAACUCUGUGCCAGCAGCCGCGGUAAUACAGAGGGUGCAAGCGUUAAUCGGAAUUACUGGGCGUAAAGCGCGCGUAGGUGGUUUGUUAAGUUGGAUGUGAAAUCCCCGGGCUCAACCUGGGAACUGCAUUCAAAACUGACUGACUAGAGUAUGGUAGAGGGUGGUGGAAUUUCCUGUGUAGCGGUGAAAUGCGUAGAUAUAGGAAGGAACACCAGUGGCGAAGGCGACCACCUGGACUAAUACUGACACUGAGGUGCGAAAGCGUGGGGAGCAAACAGGAUUAGAUACCCUGGUAGUCCACGCCGUAAACGAUGUCAACUAGCCGUUGGAAGCCUUGAGCUUUUAGUGGCGCAGCUAACGCAUUAAGUUGACCGCCUGGGGAGUACGGCCGCAAGGUUAAAACUCAAAUGAAUUGACGGGGGCCCGCACAAGCGGUGGAGCAUGUGGUUUAAUUYGAAGCAACGCGAAGAACCUUACCAGGCCUUGACAUCCAA